GUCAUUGUUAUAACUAGUGACCCUAGGAACCAGGCAGCAGCUGAAAAGUUCUAAGAAAUUACUGUUUCUGAAAAGAUACAAGACUUUGCAAACAAUUCUGGGCUUGCCAGGAGUGCUGUGAAACAACUGGUGGUGACAGAGAAUUACAUCCUGUUUGAAAGGGAGCUGCUUCUAAUGAGAUCCUGGAAGAGGGAAGAGAAAAGAAAGAAGCAAGGAACCAAGGUGGAAGAAGGAAGAAAAAUGAGAAGCUGAUUUCUCUGGCUUUUGCUCCUCCAGUGUAUGUGCAGAAAAAUACUUUUCUUGGAAUGGCAAAUUCUGAGUCCUCAGUACACACAGGUAUGUUUCUGACCACAAUCAUCUACAACAUACUCAAGCAAAUACCACAGCAAAAAUAGAAAUCUUUGUGAGAGAUUUCCUACUAGCGAAAGGUAAUAAACACAGUUGCCAUC
Molecule: long non-coding RNA, 449 nt
Filed under: Equus caballus (horse)
Lineage: Eukaryota; Metazoa; Chordata; Mammalia; Perissodactyla; Equidae
Description: lncRNA (ENSECAG00000048808.1)
Source: RNAcentral